RNAcentral lists this ribosomal RNA (383 nucleotides) under uncultured organism. RNAcentral's name for it is "partial 16S ribosomal RNA". It matches the Rfam family "Bacterial small subunit ribosomal RNA", at positions 527 to 896 of the family's 1533-position model. The record is from RNAcentral.
GUAGGUGGCGAAGCGUUGUCCGGAAUUAUUGGGCGGUAAAGACGCGCGCAGGCGGGGUCCGUUUAACGUUCUGAUGUGAAAGACCCACCGGGCGUCAACCGUGGAGGGUCAUUGGAAACUGGGGGACUUGAGUACAGAAGAGGAAAGCGGAAUUCCACGUGUAGCGGUGAAAUGCGUAGAGAUGUGGAGGAACACCAGUGGCGAAGGCGGCUUUCUGGUCUGUAACUGACGCUGAGGCGCGAAAGCGUGGGGAGCAAACAGGAUUAGAUACCCUGGUAGUCCACGCCGUAAACGAUGAGUGCUAAGUGUUAGGGGGUUUCCGCCCCUUAGUGCUGCAGCUAACGCAUUAAGCACUCCGCCUGGGGAGUACGGCCGCAAGGCUG